GGCACUUUGGCGGAGUGGUUAACGCGAUGCCCUGCUAUUAAUCUGAUAGAUAAGGCAUUCCCUUCGGGGGCGUGUGUUCGAAUCACACAGGUGUCG
RNAcentral lists this transfer RNA (96 nucleotides) under Daldinia sp. EC12. It matches the Rfam family "tRNA". From Rfam's summary of the family: Transfer RNA (tRNA) molecules are approximately 80 nucleotides in length. Their secondary structure includes four short double-helical elements and three loops (D, anti-codon, and T loops). The record is from Rfam by way of RNAcentral. Lineage: Eukaryota; Fungi; Ascomycota; Sordariomycetes; Xylariales; Hypoxylaceae.